GACGAACGCUGGCGGCGUGCUUAACACAUGCAAGUCGAACGAAGUGGCGAACGGGUGAGUAACGCGUAAUCAACCUGCCCUUCAGAGGGGGACAACAGUUGGAAACGACUGCUAAUACCGCAUACGGAAGGAGGGGAUUGCGUCUGAUUAGCUAGUUGGAGGGGUAACGGCCCACCAAGGCGAUGAUCAGUAGCCGGUCUGAGGGGAUUGACGGCCACAUUGGGACUUGGAAACGGCCCAGACUCCUACGGGAGGCAGCAGUGGGGAAUCUUCCGCAAUGGACGAAAGUCUGAAGAAGCAAAGCCGCGUGAGUGAUGACGGCCUUCGGGUUGUAAAGCUCUGUUAAUCGGGACGCGGUACCGGAAUAGAAAGCAACGGCUAACUACGUGCCAGCAGCCGCGGUAAUAC
RNAcentral lists this ribosomal RNA (408 nucleotides) under uncultured bacterium. Its description in RNAcentral is "partial 16S ribosomal RNA". It matches the Rfam family "Bacterial small subunit ribosomal RNA", at positions 28 to 526 of the family's 1533-position model. The record is from RNAcentral.